Molecule: ribosomal RNA, 253 nt
Filed under: uncultured bacterium
Lineage: Bacteria
Description: partial 16S ribosomal RNA
Rfam family: Bacterial small subunit ribosomal RNA
Source: RNAcentral
GACGUAGGAUGCAAGCGUUGUUCGGAUUUAUUGGGCGUAAAGCGUACGUAGGCGGUUAUCUAAGUCUGGUGUUAAAGCUAGGGGCUCAACCCCUGUGUUGCACUGGAAACUGGGUGACUUGAGAACGGUAGGGGAAGGUGGAAUUCCGAGUGUAGCGGUGAAAUGCGUAGAUAUUCGGAAGAACACCGGUGGCGAAGGCGACCCUCUGGGCCGUUUCUGACGCUGAGGUACGAAAGCGUGGGGAGCAAACAGG